This 63-nucleotide transfer RNA is filed under the name Mustela putorius furo (domestic ferret). It matches the Rfam family "tRNA". Rfam says of the family: Transfer RNA (tRNA) molecules are approximately 80 nucleotides in length. Their secondary structure includes four short double-helical elements and three loops (D, anti-codon, and T loops). Further hydrogen bonds mediate the characteristic L-shaped molecular structure. tRNAs have two regions of fundamental functional importance: the anti-codon, which is responsible for specific mRNA codon recognition, and the 3' end, to which the tRNAs corresponding amino acid is attached (by aminoacyl-tRNA synthetases). tRNAs cope with the degeneracy of the genetic code in two manners: having more than one tRNA (with a specific anti-codon) for a particular amino acid; and 'wobble' base-pairing, i.e. permitting non-standard base-pairing at the 3rd anti-codon position. RNAcentral also lists the same sequence under 1 other name. Lineage: Eukaryota; Metazoa; Chordata; Mammalia; Carnivora; Mustelidae. The record is from Rfam by way of RNAcentral.
GCUCAGUUGGAGACCAUGUGACUCUUAAUCAUGGGGUCAUGGGUUCAAGUCCCACAUUGAGUC